Molecule: ribosomal RNA, 504 nt
Filed under: uncultured Glomeromycotina
Lineage: Eukaryota; Fungi; Glomeromycota
Description: SSU rRNA
Rfam family: Eukaryotic small subunit ribosomal RNA
Source: RNAcentral
AGCAGCCGCGGUAAUUCCAGCUCCAAUAGCGUAUAUUAAGGUUGUUGCAGUUAAAAAGCUCGUAGUUGAAUUUCAGGCCUGGCUGGACGGUCCGCCCUUCGGGUGAGUACUGUCUGUGGUCGGGUCCUACCUUCUGGCGAAGCGUCAUGGCCUUAACCGGCCGUGGCGGGGAACCAGGACUUUUACUGUGAAAAAAUUAGAGUGUUCAAAGCAGGCAAUCGCUUGGAUACAUUAGCAUGGAAUAAUGGAAUAGGACAAUGGUUCUAUUUGUUGGUUUCUAGGACCGUUGUAAUGAUUAAUAGGGAUAGUUGGGGGCAUUAGUAUUCAAUUGUCAGAGGUGAAAUUCUUGGAUUUAUUGAAGACUAACUACUGCGAAAGCAUUUGCCAAGGAUGUUUUCAUUAAUCAAGGACGAAAGUUAGGGGAUCGAAGACGAUCAGAUACCGUCGUAGUCUUAACCAUAAACUAUGCCGACUAGGAAUCGGGCGAUGUUGAAAAAAUGACGC